This 229-nucleotide ribosomal RNA is filed under the name uncultured bacterium. RNAcentral's name for it is "partial 16S ribosomal RNA". It matches the Rfam family "Bacterial small subunit ribosomal RNA", at positions 568 to 795 of the family's 1533-position model. The record is from RNAcentral.
CUCGUAGGCUGUUCGGUAAGUCAGGUGUGAAAACCCAAGGCUCAACCUUGGGACGCCACUUGAUACUGCUGUGACUAGAGUCCGGUAGAGGAGAUUGGAAUUCCUGGUGUAGCGGUGAAAUGCGCAGAUAUCAGGAGGAACACCAACGGCGAAGGCAGAUCUCUGGGCCGGUACUGACGCUGAGGAGCGAAAGCGUGGGAAGCGAACAGGAUUAGAUACCCUGGUAGUC